AACGGGUGAGUACACGUAGGUGAUCUACCGUAAAGUUGGGGAUAGCGUGUGGAAACACAGGCUAAUACCGGAUAAUUCUUAUUGUUUACGGACGAUAAGGGAAAGGGGCCACGGCCCUGCUUUUCGAAGAGCCUGCGUUCCAUUAGUUAGUUGGCAGGGUAACGGCCUACCAAGGCGACGAUGGAUAGCCGGCCUGAGAGGGUGACCGGCCACACUGGGACUGAGACACGGGCCAGACGUCCUACGGGAGGCAGCAGCUAAGAAUCUUCCGCAAUGGGCGAAAGCCUGACGGAGCGACGCCGCGUGGACGAAGAAGGCCGGAAGGUUGUAAAGUCCUUUUCUCGAUGAAGAAUAAGGCAGCGAGGGAAUGCGCUGUCGAUGACAUUAGUUGAGGAAUAAGCCCCGGCUAAUUACGUGCCAGCAGCCGCGGUAACACGUAAGGGGCGAGCGUUGUUCGGAAUUAUUGGGCGUAAAGGGCGCGUAGGCGGCUUGGCAAGCCUGGUGUGAAAGGCCACAGCUUAACUGUGGGAGUGCGCUGGGAACUGACUAGCUAAAGUAUCGGAGGGGAAGCUGGAAGGCCUGUGUUAGGGUGAUAUGCGGUAGAUAUCAGGAAGUAUAUCUGUGGCGAAGCCGGGCUUCUGGGCCUAGAAACUGACGCUGAGGCGCGAAAGCGUGGGGAGCGAACAGUAGUAGAUACCCUGGUAGUCCACGCUGUAAACGAUGUGCAGUAGGUGUUGGCUGUGAUAACGGUCUAGUGCCGAAGCAUACGCGAUAAGUGCACCGCCUGGGGAGUUAUGCUCGCAAGGGUGAAACGCAAAGGAAUUGACGGGGGCCCGCACAAGCGGUGGUAGCUAUGUGGUUUAAUUCGAUGAUACGCGAGGAACCGUACCAGGGUUUGUACUAUAUGGCGGACUGCGGCAGAGAUGUCGCUUCCCUUCGGGGCCGUCAUACAGGUGCUGCAUGGCUGUCGUCUAGCUCGUGCUGUGAGGUGUUGGGUUUAAGUCCCGCAACGAGCGCUACCCCUGCUGUCUGUUACCAGCACGUAAUGGUGGGGUACUCAGGCGGUACUGCCGGUGACAAACCGGAGGAAGGUGGGGAC
Molecule: ribosomal RNA, 1099 nt
Filed under: uncultured organism
Description: bacterial SSU rRNA
Rfam family: Bacterial small subunit ribosomal RNA
Source: RNAcentral